UAUCUUUGGGUGUUUCGCACAUAAAGUUUUGAACUUUAAGGUAUUAGUUUAAAGAUAG
RNAcentral lists this transfer RNA (58 nucleotides) under Orthione mesoamericana. Its description in RNAcentral is "tRNA-Gln". The record is from RNAcentral. Lineage: Eukaryota; Metazoa; Arthropoda; Malacostraca; Isopoda; Bopyridae.